Molecule: unclassified non-coding RNA, 469 nt
Filed under: Hevea brasiliensis (rubber tree)
Lineage: Eukaryota; Viridiplantae; Streptophyta; Magnoliopsida; Malpighiales; Euphorbiaceae
Source: RNAcentral
GUUCAGUCUCUUUCCAUCUUGGAGGUUAGUUUCACAUAAUAUUUCAUCUGUAUCAUAUACCACAACUAUCACCUCUGGAGUUUGGAAUUGAUCCUGGCACUUGCACACUGUCAAGAAAAAGCAUAAAUUGUCAUGUAAUGUGAUCUAUUCACUCACAAUUAUUGCCUAAAGCCAAUGCAUGUGAAAUGCUCAAUUUGAAUAUCAUUUUUCAAAGUGUAACAACAUUAAUAAUGCAAAUUUAGCUUGAAACUAGUGUUCUUUGAAAUUGCAACCUACAAUCUCUGUGUGCAUGCUAGCAAUUUAGAUAGAUUGUAAGCAUGGACAAGGAUGACCGUCGGCUAGUGAUUUGAUGAGUCUUGUUUAAGUUUUUUAUUCAUACUUUUGAGAAUACUAUGUUAUUUUAUUUCCCCUUCUACUGACAUUCUAGAAAAAUAUGCAUUUAUUUAGAUAACAAAGGAAUUGGCACGGU